CUGCUUUUAAUGAAUCUCGGGAAAAAUUAGUCUCAGGAAUGGUGGUUAGAAAUGUUUCGGGGGAGGUCCUCGCCUUCAAAAUAGUGGUUCACGGGGAGGUGAUGUUGCGGAAACGUCGAUAAUAUUAAUAACAAUAUUAUCAGAAAUAUUUAGAUAAUUAUUAUGCCAACAAUUAUACUAAGAAAAUUCCAGUUAAAUUGGAGGGGUCACAAAUGGUCCCACUUAAAAACCAACAACUAGACAGAACUCACUUAGUUAUUUAUAGCAAUAAUAACUAAAUAAAUAUAACCAACAUAAAGCUAUUAAAUAUAAGCAAACAAAUGAGAAAUAAAACACCAGAAUUUUAACGAGGUUCGGCCAAUUUAGCUUACGUCCUCGGACACUACCAAAUUAAAAUUUCCUCUAGAAAUAUUACAAAAGAGAAGAUCAACACCAAGUUACAAUUAGCUACUUGGAUUUUCAAAAUGAGAUUUUAGGAUGAUGAAACCUAAGGGGGAGGGGUUCUAUAUAUAACAAACCAAACCCCCUCCCUUUCUAUCUUUUCCCAAUGUGGGAUAUUGCCAAUAUUCAACAAAUCUCCACCUUGGCGAUAUUCCACAUUUUCAAACAUCUUCUCAUAACACAAACUUCAAUAGUGUCUUCAAAUUUGCGCCAACGAUGCCAUAUCAAAUGUGUCGGACAUUGAUCAAGUCUAAACAAUGUUCAAACUUGGCCCUUGUAACCACCUUAGUCAGCAUAUCUGUAGGAUUUUCCGUAGUGUGAAUCUUUUGGAGAAGUAUCUCCUCUUCUUCGAGAAUUUCCCGUACAAAGUGAUAGCGAACGUCUAUGUGCUUCGUUCGUGCAUGAAAGACCUGAUUCUUUGCUAAAUGAAUAGCACUCUGACUGUCAGAAUAUACCUUAAGUUGUUUCUGACCAACUUCCAAGUCUUUAAGCAAUCCGUGAAGCCAAAUUGCUUCCUUCACAGCCUCUGUAAUUGCCAUAUACUCUGCCUCUGUUGUAGACAAAGCCACCGUGGACUGUAAGGUAGAUUUCCAACUAACUGGCGCUUUUGCUAAAGUAAACAAAUAGCCAGUUGUAGACCGUCGCUUAUCCAAAUCACCUGCAUAAUUAGAAUCACAAUAUCCAACUAUGCAUUGACCAAGUGAUUCAUCCCGCUCGAAUGUCAAUCCGACAUCUAUGGUAUUUUGGAGAUACCGCAGAAUCCAUUUCACAGCUUGCCAAUGACCCCUGCCCUGAUCAUGCAUGUACCUGCUAACAACACUAACAGCCUGUGAAAUAUCUGGUCUCGUACAUACCAUUGCAUACAUCAAGCUUCCAACUGCAUUUGCAUAUGGGACUUUUGUCAUGUACUCUCGUUCUUCCUUAGUCGUUGGAGAUAACUGGUUACUCAGUUUAAAAUGAGGAGCAAGUGGGGUACUUACAGGUUUUGUACCUUCAGACAUACCGAAACGUUGUAGUACCUUCUCCAAAUACUGUUUUUGUGACAGCCAAAGCUUGCCCCUCUUUCUAUCCGGAGUUAUUUCCAUGCCGAGAAUCUUCUUGGCUUCCCCUAAAUCCUUCAUCUCAAACUCUUUACUCAACUGAGCCUUCAGUCUAUCAAUCUCCAUUUGGCUCUUUGCUGCAAUCAGCAUAUCAUCAACAUACAAGAGUAAGUAAAUGUAGGAACUAUCUUGAAGCUUGCGCAAAUACACACAAUGAUCGUAUUUGCUUCUUUUGUACUUCUGGUCCUUCAUGAACCUAUCAAAUCGUUUGUACCAUUGUCUGGGAGAUUGUUUCAAUCCGUACAACGAUUUGCUAAGUUUACAAACCCAAUUUUCUUUACCAGCAACCCUGUAUCCAUCUGGCUGAGUCAUAUAGAUUUCCUCCUUCAAAUCACCGUGUAGAAACGUGGUCUUCACAUCAAGUUGAGGUAGCUCCAAAUUCAACUGCGCUACCAAGGCCAACAAAAUUCUAAUGGAGGAAUGUUUAACAACUGGAGAAAACACCUCAUUAUAGUCAAUUCCCUCCUUCUGAGUGUAGCCUUUAGCCACCAACCUUGCCUUGUAACGAACAUCUUCUUUGUCAGGAAAUCCUUCUUUCUUUGCAAAUACCCAUUUGCAACCAAUCGCCUUAUUCCCUUUUGGUAGUUGUGCCAGCUUCCACGUCUUGUUUUUCUCUAGAGAUUGCAUUUCCUCUUCCAUUGCACCUAACCAUCUAUCAUUCUCUGAACUUUGAAUGGCUUCGGUGUAAGUGGAUGGAAUAUUAUCAACAACUGGGAAGUGCAUAAGCUACCAUGUCAGUGAAACGAGCAGGUUUCUGAAUUUCUCGUCUCUGCCUUCUGACUGCAAUUGGCUCUGAUUGUUGUUGAGGUUCUUGGGUAGGAACCUCUUCCUCAUCUGACUCUGCAUCUGCCAAUGAAGAAUCACUAGUGGUACCUUCUGCUGGNNNNNNNNNNNNNNNNNNNNNNNNNNNNNNNNNNNNNNNNNNNNNNNNNNNNNNNNNNNNNNNNNNNNNNNNNNNNNNNNNNNNNNNNNNNNNNNNNNNNCCACACUCUGCUCAAACUCCACCUGAUGCGGAGUACACUCCACCUGCUGCGAAGUACUACUCACUCCUUCUGGAUUUACCUUAUUCAACAUGGAAGAUUCAUUGAAGGUAACAUCCCUACUGAUUAUCGUCUUCUUUGCUUCUAGACACCACAAACGAUAUCCCUUAACACAAGCAUUGAAGCCCAUGAAUAGAGCCUUCUUUGCUCUUGGAUCUAACUUUGAUUCUUUCACAUGAUAAUAUGCAAUAGAACCAAAAAUACGCAAGGUGUCAUAAUCAGUAGCAGGUUUUCCAUACCAUUCCUCCAAAGGAGUCUUGCCAUUUAUAGCAGAUGAUGGCAAAUGAUUGAUGAGAUGUUGAGCGUACGUCACAGCCUCAGCCCAAAACUUUCUAUCUAAUCCAGCAUUAGAUAACAUACAUCGAACUUUCUCCACAAGCGUUCGAUUCAUACGCUCUGCCACCCCAUUCUGUUGCGGUGUUCCACCUACGGUAAAGUGCCUUACUAUGCCACAAUCUUGGCAUAUCUUCAGGAAUGGAUCGCUUUUAUAUUCUCCACCGUUGUCUGAUCGGAGAACCUUAAUCUUCUUUCCUGUCUGAUUUUCAACUUUAGUUUUCCACUUAAGGAAAACUUCAAGCACCUCAUCUUUGUUCUUCAUAGGAAACACCCAAACUCUUCUGGAAAAAUCAUCAAUAAAGGUGACAAAAUAACGUCUUCCUCCAAGUGAUGGAGUCUUGGACGGUCCCCAUACAUCAGAAUGCACAUAAUCCAGAAUACCUUUAGUAUUGUGAAUCUCAGUGCCAAAUUUCACCCUUCGUUGUUUUCCCAUAACACAAUGCUCGCAAAAUUCAAGUUUUCAAGUCUUUGUACCUUUCAAUAAUCCUUGCUUGGCUAGAGUUUGCAAGGAUUUUUCACCAGCAUGGCCCAAACGCAUAUGCCACAGCUGUGUUGCCUCAGCGUCCUUCUUGGUACUCGAAAUUGCUGCUGCUGUUGUCCCCACCACUGUACUACCUUGGUAGUAAUACAGAUUGUUCUUUCUUAUGCCUUUCAACAUCACCAAUGCUCCUGAAGUUGCUUUAAGAACUCCAUCUCAUAUUGUCACAACUAGGCCUUUAGACCCCAAAGAGAUGAGAUUCUUCUUCAACUUUGGGACAUAUCGUACAUCCCACAAAACUCUAGUAGAUCCAUCAUGAUUCCUCAGUUUAAUUGAACCUAUCCCGGUUGUUUUACAUGUGUUAUCAUUACCCAUGUGAACAACCCCUCCAUCUAGUUUUUGAAAUUCAAAGAACCAUUCCCAAAUGGGACACAUAUGAUAGGAACAACCAGAAUCCAAGAUCCACUCAUCUGCAUGUAAUGUUGAAGAUGACAUACUAAGAGAAAAGUCUGACUCUGCUUCACUAUUGCAUUCUGCAACAUUUGCAUCUUGCGGAGUCUUCCCUUUUUUCUUCAAUUUUGGACAAUCUUUCUUCCAAUGUCCUUUUUCUUUGCAAAAUGAACAUUCAUCUUUGGCAACAGCUCGACCUUUGGACUUUCUUCUCUUCCCCUUAGAAUGACUUUGCUGACGACCUCUUGUUACCAAUGCUUCCACUGUUGCUUCACCUGAACCUUUCAACUUAUCCUUUCGGCGUAGUUCAUAGCUAUACAAUGCAGCAGUUACUUCAUUGAAAGUUACUUCCGACUUUCCCUGAAGUAGAGUAGUUUCAAAGUACUCAAACUUCUCAGGAAGCGAUCCCAACAACAUUAACGCCAAGUCUUCGUCUUCAAAAGUCACAUCCAAAUUCAACAAAUCAGCCACCAGCGGACUAAAAUUGGUAAUGUGCUCAUUCAUCGUGGUACCAGGAACAUAACUGAAACGAAACAGUCUUUUCUUCAUAUGCAACUUAUUUUGACUGUUCUUCUUCAGGAAUUUCUCCUCCAAUGCUUUCCACAACUUACUUGCAGAAGUUUCUUUACUGAAUGUAUACUUCUGCUCUCUGGAAAGACAUGAUCGAAUUGUACCACAUGCCAAUUGGUUGAUGGUCUUCCAUUCUUUAUCAUCAACCCCUUCUGGUUUUUAUUCCUCAAUGGCAAUAUCUAGACCCUGUUGAAAGAGGGCAUCUAGAAGCUCACUUUGCCACAUGCCGAAAUAACCUGUUCCAUCAAAAAUUUCCACUGCAAAUCUCGUAUUUGCAGUUCCAACCCUCGACAAAAUGUACGAGGUGGAAGUUGUUGAUGUGGAUGGUUUUUCUUCUGUCAUUUUUGUCAUAGCUUCUAUUUAAUAGCCACCAAAUGUGGAAUACCCACAAGCUUUAGGAAAUGUUUCUGAUGUGUAAGAUUAGACUAAGCUGCAAACACAGAGCAUACUACAAAACCUUGGCUCGAAUACCAAUUGUUGCGGAAGCGUCGAUAAUAUUAAUAACAAUAUUAUCAGAAAUAUUUAGAUAAUUAUUAUGCCAACAAUUAUACUAAGAAAAUUCCCAGUUAAAUUGGAGGGGUCACAAAUGGUCCCACUUAAAACCCAACAACUAGACAAAACUCACUUAGUUAUUUAUAGCAAUAAUAACUAAAUAAAUAUAACCAACAUAAAGCUAUUAAAUAUAAGUAAACAAAUGAGAAAUAAAACACUAGAAUUUUAACGAGGUUCGGCCAAUUUAGCUUACGUCCUCGGACACUACCAAAUUAAUAUUUUCGCUAGAAAUAUUACAAAAGAGAAGAUCAACACCAAGUUACAAUUAGCUACUUGGAUUUUCAAAAUGAAAUUUUGGGAUGAUGAAACCUAAGAGGGAGGGGUUCUAUAUAUAACAAACCAAACCCCCUCCCUUUCUAUCUUUUCCCAAUGUGGGAUAUUGCCAAUAUUCAACAGGUGGCCUCUUAGUUUGUAGUAGAUGCCAUUGUGUGCCUCCAAGCAGUGUUCAUGGGAAAACAGAUGGGGUUCACAUCAGUUGUUAUCGAAGGAGACUCAGUAUUAGUAAUAAAAAAAAGUAAAUCAGAUAAGAUUGAUAAAUCAGUAAUUGGGGGUAUAAUACGAAACAUUCAAUAGCAAAAGUAAUAUUUUCACCAAAUACCCUUUCAACUAACAUACAGAUCUGCAAAUCUAGUGGCUCACAAUUUAGCUAGAGAGGCAAUGAGAGAAGAAUCGUGAGCAUACCUGAUCGGAAGAGUCCCUGAGCAAGGAACAUUGGAGGUGGAUCUGCGAAGAAUGAGAGAACCUGACUGAGUGAUGUUCGAUAGGUGGCCUGUGAGUGGGAAGAGAAAAGGAAAUUGGGAUAGUUGAUGGGUUUUGGAAACCGCUUUUCUGGGGACUGGAAUCGGUGCAUUUAUUGCGG
RNAcentral lists this long non-coding RNA (5826 nucleotides) under Gossypium raimondii (Peruvian cotton). RNAcentral's name for it is "long non-coding RNA (GRAI_LNC010789)". Lineage: Eukaryota; Viridiplantae; Streptophyta; Magnoliopsida; Malvales; Malvaceae. The record is from RNAcentral.